GCUAGGACGAACGCUGGCGGCGUGCCUAAUACAUGCAAGUCGAACGGUCUUUCUAUGGAAGCUUGCUUCCACUGAGAAGAUAGUGGCGAACGGGUGAGUAACACGUGGGUAACCUGCCCAUAAGAGGGGGGAUAACAUCCGGAAACGGGUGCUAAUACCGCAUAGUUUUCUUGAUCGCAUGAUCGGGAAAGGAAAGACGGCCUUUGUGCUGUCGCUUAUGGAUGGACCCGCGGCGUAUUAGUUAGUUGGUGAGGUAACGGCUCACCAAGACGAUGAUACGUAGCCGACCUGAGAGGGUGAUCGGCCACAUUGGGACUGAGACACGGCCCAAACUCCUACGGGAGGCAGCAGUAGGGAAUCUUCCGCAAUGGACGAAAGUCUGACGGAGCAACGCCGCGUGAGUGAAGAAAAGGUUUUCGGAUCGUAAAACUCUGUUGUCAGAGAAGAACAAGUUGGAGAGUAACUGCUCCAGCCUUGACGGUAUCUGACCAGAAAGCCACGGCUAACUACGUGCCAGCAGCCGC
Molecule: ribosomal RNA, 524 nt
Filed under: uncultured bacterium
Lineage: Bacteria
Description: bacterial SSU rRNA
Rfam family: Bacterial small subunit ribosomal RNA
Source: RNAcentral